RNAcentral lists this long non-coding RNA (19136 nucleotides) under Citrus sinensis (sweet orange). RNAcentral's name for it is "long non-coding RNA (CSIN_LNC004234)". The record is from RNAcentral. Lineage: Eukaryota; Viridiplantae; Streptophyta; Magnoliopsida; Sapindales; Rutaceae.
GCAUAUGUGCUUUCCCGCAGGUACAUCUUAAUCUCAACACUUCUUGCUAAACUGCUUGGUUCUGAACAUAUCAAGGAAUUGUAUGCUAAUGACGUCUGAUUUUAGUAUUGAAUACCAAGCUUGGGAAGAUUGUUUACCACAUGUUGAGUUUGCUUAUAAUCAUUCUGUUCAUUCUGUUACUAAGUAUUCAUCGUUUGAAAUUGUUUAUGGUUUUAAUCCUUUAACCCCAUUAGAUUUAACUCUAUUGCCUGUUUCUAAGCGUCUUAACUUAGAUGGCAAGAAAAAGGUUGAAAUUGUUAAACAGAUACACAAGAGGGCGAAGUUCAACAUCAAGCAGAGAACUGAGCAAUAUGCUGAACAAGCUAAUAAAGGACGACAUAAGCUAGUCUUUGAACCUAGCGAUUAGGUAUGGUUAUAAAUGCACAAGCAACGAUUUCCUAAACGAAGGAAAUCUAAGUUAUUACCUUGAGGGGAUGGUCCUUUCCAAGUCUUGGAAUAGAUCAAUGACAAUGCAUACAAGCUAAAUUUGCCCGGUGAGUACAAUGUAAGUACUACUUUUAAUGUUUUUUAUUUAAGUCCUUUUGAUGCAGGUGACGAUUUGAGGACAAUCCUAAUGAUGAGAUUAAGGACAAAACUGUCAGAAGCACAUGGGACACAACAUAUUCAAAUCUUAUUCAAGCUCCCAUUGGACCCGUCACAGGAGCUUGAGCAAAGAAAUUCAAAGAAGCGCUUAAUAGAUUGAUUCAAGCAACAUGGGCUCAAUCAAAUUCAUGGAGGCCCGUUGAAGGAAUCGUACAUGAUGAAUGCGUGACCAAGCUCUUAAAGCUUCCAAAUAAUCACUUCCAUGAAAUAAGAAAUUGACUUGCACAUUAUGGCGGGAAAAUAUUUUAUUUUCCUUUUUCGGAUACUUUCCCGUUUCUUGAGGAGGCUAUUAGAGAAACAAAUUAGUUAUUUCUAUUUUAAUCCCCUAGUUUCCAUUUUAAUUGAUGUGAGGCAUUUAGGUCGAUUAGAAUUUUGAUUUGAUUUAGAUUCUUUCCUAUUUACUUAGAUUAGAAUUCUGAUUUGAUUAGGAUUCUGAUUAGAUUUAGAUUCUUUCCUAUUUGUUUAGAUUCAGAUUCCGAUUUGAUUUUAGUUUAGGAUUUAUUUCCAAAAAUUCUUGUAACCAACCCUAUAUAAUGUACUCACAUCCAAUAAACAGAGACAAAUCAAUUUUAAUGCAAUUGGUGAGAGAGUUAAUUCUCUUUGGUUAUUAAACAAACUCUUUGAACUUAUCAGAUUUUUGUGGCGUUUAAAUUGUUGAUUUAUCAAUUAGGUCAUCCAUAACUUAUUGUUUCCUUUAACCCCAUUAGAUUUAACUCUAUUGCCUGUUUCUAAGCGUCUUAACUUAGAUGGCAAGAAAAAGGUUGAAAUUGUUAAACAGAUACACAAGAGGGCGAAGUUCAACAUCAAGCAGAGAACUGAGCAAUAUGCUGAACAAGCUAAUAAAGGACGACAUAAGCUAGUCUUUGAACCUAGCGAUUAGGUAUGGUUAUAAAUGCACAAGCAACGAUUUCCUAAACGAAGGAAAUCUAAGUUAUUACCUUGAGGGGAUGGUCCUUUCCAAGUCUUGGAAUAGAUCAAUGACAAUGCAUACAAGCUAAAUUUGCCCGGUGAGUACAAUGUAAGUACUACUUUUAAUGUUUUUUAUUUAAGUCCUUUUGAUGCAGGUGACGAUUUGAGGACAAUCCUAAUGAUGAGAUUAAGGACAAAACUGUCAGAAGCACAUGGGACACAACAUAUUCAAAUCUUAUUCAAGCUCCCAUUGGACCCGUCACAGGAGCUUGAGCAAAGAAAUUCAAAGAAGCGCUUAAUAGAUUGAUUCAAGCAACAUGGGCUCAAUCAAAUUCAUGGAGGCCCGUUGAAGGAAUCGUACAUGAUGAAUGCGUGACCAAGCUCUUAAAGCUUCCAAAUAAUCACUUCCAUGAAAUAAGAAAUUGACUUGCACAUUAUGGCGGGAAAAUAUUUUAUUUUCCUUUUUCGGAUACUUUCCCGUUUCUUGAGGAGGCUAUUAGAGAAACAAAUUAGUUAUUUCUAUUUUAAUCCCCUAGUUUCCAUUUUAAUUGAUGUGAGGCAUUUAGGUCGAUUAGAAUUUUGAUUUGAUUUAGAUUCUUUCCUAUUUACUUAGAUUAGAAUUCUGAUUUGAUUAGGAUUCUGAUUAGAUUUAGAUUCUUUCCUAUUUGUUUAGAUUCAGAUUCCGAUUUGAUUUUAGUUUAGGAUUUAUUUCCAAAAAUUCUUGUAACCAACCCUAUAUAAUGUACUCACAUCCAAUAAACAGAGACAAAUCAAUUUUAAUGCAAUUGGUGAGAGAGUUAAUUCUCUUUGGUUAUUAAACAAACUCUUUGAACUUAUCAGAUUUUUGUGGCGUUUAAAUUGUUGAUUUAUCAAUUAGGUCAUCCAUAACUUAUUGUUGCAUCCUCACAUACCAAGGUUCGUGCUUUCAUUAAGCAUUGGGUCAUGGUUCCAUUCAAUUCCCAAUUUAUAUUCGAUCUUGGGAACUAAAUUUAUUAGGGUCACGUUAGUUCUUGACGGGAUUCGUAUCACACCUAGUAAAAAAAUAACUAUUGUUCCAUCUAAACCACAAUUUCCGCAAGCAUUCAUUAAACCAAAGAAAUCAAACUACUCUUUUGAAAUUUAUGAAAUCUUUAAGUGAAAGUUAACAUUUCUCUACUUGAUGCAAUCAAGUAGGUACCUUUAUAUACUAGAUUUUUAAAGGACUUAUGCACUGUCAAGAGGAAAUUGAAGGUAAGAAAGAAUGCUUUCAUGGCUAAACAGGUAAGUAUUAUUCUAUCUACUAAUAAUAACUUGAAAUAUAAAGAUCCUGGUUGUCCUACUAUUUCUUGUAUUAUUGGUGAUCACAUAAUUGAGCAUGCUUUGCUAGACGUUGGUGCUAAUGUUAAUUUGCUUCCAUAUUUAGUUUAUCUUCAACUUAAUCUUGGUGAGUUAAAAUCAACUUCAACUAUACUUUUGCUUGCUGUACUAAAAGAAAUAGUGGAAGACGUGUUUAGUACAAGUUGAUAAAUUCGUAGUCUAUGGAUUUUAUUGUCUUAAAGACCGAACCUGUUGUGAAUAAUUAUAAACCAAUUCCUGUAAUUUUUGGUCGGCCAUUUUUAACAACUGCUAAUGCUUUGAUUAAUUGUAGGAAUGGUUUAAUGAAUUUGUUAUUCAGAAAUAUGACUCUGGAAUUGAAUGUUUUUAAUAUGUGUAGGCAACCUAAUGAAGAAAAUGAAAAUGAAGAUGAUACUGAUGAACAAUAAGAAUUGGUUGAACUUGUAUAGAGGAAAAUAUUCAGUAAGGGAACUUUACUGAACUUAGUGAUAUUUGUUUGUUUAAUUUGACCAACUUGAGCUUGAUACUUUUAAUAUAAAUUUGUUACUUGAUUAUGCUCAGACUUUACAAAAUGAUGAUGAAAAACCAAAAUUUGAAAAGCUUGAAAUCAUUGAAAUCAUUGAAAAGACAGAACAACAAGAAGCACCUAAAGUGGAAUUGAAACCUUUGCUCGAAGAGUUGAAGUAUGCUUAUUUUGGAGAAAAACAAACUUAUCCUGUUGUGAUUUCUUCUACUCUAACAAGCGACCAAGAAGGUAAGUUAUUAUAUGUUCUUAAAAAGCAUAAAUAUGCAAUUGGAUGGACUUUGAAUGAUAUUAAAGGUAUCAAUCCUUUAAUUUGCACACAGAGAAUCAAUUUGGAAGAAAAUGCUAAAACAUGUCAACAAUCUCAAAGAAGAUUAAACCCACACAUAAAAGAAGUAGUAAAGACAAAAGUCCUUAAAUUACUUAAUGUAGGUAUUAUCUAUCCUAUCUGUGAUAGUAAGUGGGUAAGUCCUACACAAAGUAGUGCUUAAGAAAUCUGAAAUCAUUGUUGUCAUCUAGUUACCACCAUAAAAGAUAAUUUUCUAUUAUCAUUUCUUGACCAAAACUUAUAAAGAGUAACUGGACAUUCCUACUACUGCAUUUUAGAUGGAUAUUUAGGUUAUUAUCAAAUUCCUAUAGCACUUGAAGAUCAAGAAAAGACCACAUUUACAUGUCCCUUUGGAACAUUUGCAUUUAAUAGAAUGCUAUUUGGACUUUGUAAUACUCCUACAAUAUUUCAAAGAUGCAUGCUAAGUAUUUUCAGCGAUAUGGUUGGUAACUGUUUAAAGGUCUUUAUGGAUAAUUUGAUUGUGUUUGGGAAUUCUUGUGGGUCAUACUGUAUCUGUUAAAAGAAUUGAAGUUGACAAAGCAAAAAUUGAAGUCAUAUCUACAAUAUUUCAAAAAUGCAUGCUAAGUAUUUUCAGCGAUAUGGUUGGUAACUGUUUAAAGGUCUUUAUGGAUAAUUUGAUUGUGUUUGGGAAUUCUUGUGGGUCAUACUGUAUCUGUUAAAAGAAUUGAAGUUGACAAAGCAAAAAUUGAAGUCAUAUCUAAAUUACCAUAACAAAAAACAAUUAGAGAUGUGCAAUCUUUUUAGGACAUGCAGGAUUUUAUAAGAGGUUAAUAAAAAAACUUUAGUGCCAUACCUAAACUACUUUGUAACCUCUUAUUAAAAGAUGCACCAUUUGAAUGGAUUGAUGAUUGUUAAAAAUCUUGAGAAAAUAUUUUUUCUUUUAACAUAUGCACCUACUAUGCAAUCUCCUUAUUGGUCUUUGCCUUUUGAAUUAAUGUGUGAUGCAAGUGAUUUUGCUGUUGGUACUGUUUAAGAACAAAAAAAGGCAUGGUAAGCCCUUUGUGAUUUAUUAUAUAAGUAAGAUUUUGGAUAGUACUCAAAUAAUGCUUAGUACUAAAUCUAUUGCUUUUACUGAUCACGCUGCUUUGAGAUAUUUGAUAACUAAAUAGGAUGCCAAACCAAGACUAAUAUGUUGGAUUUUGUUAUUUUAAGAAUUUAACCUCACCAUCAAAGAUAAAAAGGGUGCCGAAAAUGUCGUUGCUGAUUAUUUUUCAAGACUCACAUAUGGAUUUUACACUGACAUAACACCUUAUGUGAACCCCACAAUGAAACUUUGAAACUAAUGAGAACCAUCGAGGGAAUACUAUUAAAGCUUCAACUAAUCCCUUGCACAUUUAUGGAGGCCCAAUUACAAAAGCUAGAGCCAAAAAGAUGCAAGCUGGUUUGAAUUGAUUAAUUGAGAAAAUAUGGAUUGAAAAUGCAAUUCAAGAUGCAAGACAUCAUGAAUUGGGCUUGGAGAGAAGACAAGGCAUUGUGGGCAUUAUUCAAGCUAUUGGGCAGCCAAAUACACAAUUUGGAUCAAAUGCAGAAAGGGCAAAUCCAAAAUAAAAUUGGUAUUCAUUGAGCCAGAAGUAAUGUUCAACCAAUAUACCGUUGGAAAGAAAUUAAGUUAACUUUCCAAUGCAAUUUACAGAGCUAGAUUUAAAGUUCUCUAGAAGGAGUUAUUACUAAUUUAUUACAGCUUGUUCAGACUUGGGAUUUCCAAUGACUCCUUUGUUUAUUCAACUUCAUUUAUUUGUUUUAUUUCAAGUUUGUCAAUAUGUAAUGUAAAUCUACCAUCAAUGAUGGUGGGCUAACAUUAAGUUUGUCAAUGAUAGCAUUAAUUAGGGUAGGCUAGCAUUAAGUUUGUCAAUAAUAGCAUUAAUUAUGGUAGGCGAGCAUUAAGUUUGUCAAUGACUAGCAUUACUAAUGGGGAGCUGGUGAAGACUUUUGAAGCAUCCUUUGACAAACUUGUACUUGGGUGGACUCAGCAACCUUACUAUGUAAGACAAUGAGAGAUUAAUGUUAUUUUGAAUUUGAAAGAUCAUUAUUUCUUUGGUUCUUUUAAGAGCUAGUGAACUCAUCAAGAAUUUACAUUCUUGUGGCGUUCCAAAAUAGACUUAUCACUCACCUUCUCAUCUAAAUCUUGAGUGUGGCGUCCAUAUCCUUCUCUAUACCUUUGGUUCAUGUUUUCUUAAACAUUGGGUCAAGGUUUUUGUUUCGCUUAAAAUCUAUUUACAACUUUCUUGGGAAGUUGAAACUAUAAAUUCAUAGUGGGUUUAUGAUGUGAACCCCACAAUGAAACUUUGAAACCCACACUUAAUUUGUAGUUUUAACUUCCCAAGAAAGUUCUAAACAGAUUUUAAGCGAAACAAAAACCUUGACCCAAUGUUUAAGAAAACAUGAACUAGAGGUAUAGAAAAGGAUAUGGAUGCCAAACUCAAGAUUUAGAUGAGAAGGUGAGUGAUAAGUCUAUUUUGGAAUGCCACAAGAAUGUAAAUUCUUGAUAAGUUCACUAGUUCUCAAAAGAACCAAAGAAAGAAUGAUCUUUCAAAUUCAAAAUAACAUUCAUCUCUAAUUGUCUUACAAAUGAAAACAUUGGAACAACCCUCCAAGGAUAGGUUUGUCAAAGGAUACUUUAAAAGUCUUCACCAAGCCACCUUUGAAAUAAAACAAAUAAAUGAAGUUGAAUAAACAAAGGAGUCGUUGGAAAUCCCAAGUCUAAACAAGCUGUAAUAAAUUGAUCAUAACUCCUUCUAGAGAACUCCAAAUCCAGCUCUAUAAAUUGCAUUGGAAAGUUAACUUAAUUAUCUUUUCAAGGUAUAUAGCUUGCCCGUUACUUCUAGCUCAAUCAAUACCAGUUUUAUUCCGUAUUUACCCUUUUUGCAUUUAAUCCAAAUUGUGUAUUUGGCUGCCCAAUAGCUUAAAUAAUGCCCACAAUGCCUUGUCUUCUCUCCAAACCCAAUUCAUGAUGUCUUGUAUCUUGAAUUGCAUUUUCAAUCCAUAUUUUCUCAAUUAAUCAAUUUAAACCAGCUUGCAUCUUUUUGGCUCCAGCUCUUGUAAUUGGGCUUUCAUGAAUGUGCAGAGGAUUAGUUGAAGCUUUAAUAGUAUUCCCUUGAUGGUUUUGAUCAGCACCCAUCAAUAAUUCUUUCCUUGAUAAAUUUUUAUUUUCUGUCACUUCAAUGCCAUAGUAUGCUAACAAUGUUAAUUUCCUUGUUAUAGGUAAAAUGUCUUCACAAUGGAAUUCUCAAAAGAAGAGUUUUUGUUGUUGAAGUAAAGAAAUUUUAUUAAGACGAUCCUUUCUUGUUCAAUAAUUGCUGAUCAAAUUUUUUCCGUGACAUAUUCCUGAUAGGUAAGUAGUGUCAUUAGUUUUUCUCAUUCUGAAGCAUCUAGUGGACACUUUUCUUUAAGAAAAACUACAGUUAAAAUUUUACAAUGUAGAUUUUAUUGGCCAUUUGAAUUUUGUAAAACUUGUGAAAACUGUCAAAAAUUUGGAUCAAUUACUAAAAUAAACAUGAUGCAUUUAAAUCCCAUGAUUGAGAUCAAAAUAUUUGACUGUUGGGAAUUGAUUUCAUGGGUCUGUUUCCACCAUCUUUUGGAUUCAUGUCCAUAGUAGUUGCAGUUGAUUAUGUCUCAAAAUAGAUUGAAGCAAUUUCUUGUUGAAAUAGUGAUAGCAAAAUUGUGAUUAAAUUUUUAAGAGAAAAAUUUAAUGAUGGGGGUAAACAUUUUUGUAAUAAUCCUUUUAAGUAUUUAAUGAAAAAAUAUGGAAUUACACAUAAAGUUAUUACCGCUUAUCAUCCUCAAACAAAUGGUCAGUUUGAAUUAGCAAAUAGGGAGAUAAAACAAAUUUUUGAAAAGACAGUUAACCCAAACCGUAAAGAUUGGUCUCUUCAUUCGACUCAUGUACUCUGAGCUUACCGUACUGCGUUUAGGAUGUCUUUAGGAAUGUUACCCUAGUGGCUAGUUUAUGGUAAACCUUGCAACUUGUUGAACUUGAGCAUAAAUCAUUUUGAGCUAUUAAAGCUUUUAAUUCAAAUCUUGAUAAACUUGGGGAAAUAAGGUGAUGCAUAUGAAAAUUCAAGAUUAAUUAAGGUAAGAACCAAAGCUUUUCAUGAUAAAAGAAAUUUUUGGAAAAGAUUUGAUAUUGGUCAAAAAGUGUUGUUUUAUAAUUCUCGUCUUCAUUUGUUUCCAGGAAAGUUAAAGUCAAAGUGGAGCGGCCCAUUUGUUGUAAAACAUGUCUACCCAUUUAGGGUUGUAGAAAUUGAGAAUCCAAAAAAGUUAAUGACAAAGAUUAAAACCAUAUCUGUAUUACCAACCACACGAAGGAAGCACCAAAAUAAAUUUGAGUGACCCACCUGUUGAGUGUUAGAAAAUGCAUAUUUAUAAAGGAGAAAACCGUCAUUUUACAUUUCAAGUCUUACUAACAACCCUUACUUUUAUGUAUUUAACAUUCUUAUGAUUUAAUUACGUGUGUUUUAUUUUAAUUAAGUAAUUUAUGUAUUUUAGGGGCAUUAUAGUCAUUUCACAAUAAAGGAGAGAUCAGACGGCAAAACGGACAUCACUUUUGAACUCAGGACCGUCGAAAACCUUAGGAGGAGCAUAAAAGGAAAAAUGACACUAUUCACAUGUACGGUACUAUUCACGUAUACAGUACUGUCUACGUUACUGUUCACGACACUGUUCACAUAGACGGAUCGAUAACGUGGCAUUGACCGAUGAUGUGGCAUUGACUGAUGAGGUGUCACGAUCCUGUUGGACUAAAAUUCUCAUGUACUGUUGAUGGUGACGUGGCAGCAUAUCAGUGGACGAAAAAUCUCACGUACGGUGCAUGCAUCACACAGGAUUAUUUUCAACCAAACCGCAUUACUGUUCAUCCGGGUCAAACCGUGUUACUGUUCAUCCACGUGGUCAAACCGUGGAAUGUUGACUGAUGACGUGGCGCAAUCCUGAGCGUCCAAACUGUUUUUAAUCCGAUGGCCAUGAUGUACUCCAUGUAUCUAUAAAAAGGGGGCCUCUCCCCCCUAAUUUGAUAUCUCUGAAUGUGGCGUAAUCCUGAGCGUCCAAACUGUUUUUAAUCCGAUGGCCAUGCUUUACUCCAUGUAUCUAUAAAAAGGGGGCCUCCCCCCCCUCAUUUGAUAUCUCUGAAUCCAUUUUUGGGAUCCAUUUUCUGUAAUUCCUUCUCCAUCUUGUAUUUUCUUCGUAUUUUAAUAAAUUUCCAUUUUGCCCCUAGUUUAAUUAUGAGUGGCUAAUUUUCUUUCAAGCUUGGGUUGAAGGUGAAGUCUCAACAUGUGUCAUGGGCUUAAUUUGGUAAAUUUAUUUUCUCUUCCCCUCUAGUUUUUGUGGAUGUUUUGACUUCUCGUCGACAAAUAAUACUAAUCUUGUCUAGUACCGCCUUGGUUACACCGGCUCUCUAGUAUAAGGUUAUUAUUAUUUGGCACGAUAAGCCCUUAGCACCAUAUUGAUUAGAGCGUGGUUCAUGCGGUGUGGAUUCCCCCCUCAUGAUUUAAUUGGUAUUAAUAAGGAAUAUUUAGCCCAUGAUGCAUGUUGAUACGGAUCCAGAUACCCAAGUACGUCAUUUCAAUAGAAUCCUCUUCAAUUCAUUCUCGCCAUUUUAAUUCCAGUUUUAGAAUUUAUUCUCGCCAUUUUAAUUUAAGUUUUAGCAUAUUCCAAAUAAUUUCCACCAUAAUUCCAACCACCCAUUUACAAAAUUAAUUCUAUAUAUAAUUAAAAUCCACCUCCUCGUGGGAUCGACACUUGUCACCAUUGAUCUACACUACAAUAGAUUCGUGCGCUUGCGAGUACAUUAAAAUUUGCACAACACCACCAAAUCUUGAUUAAUUUUUUUUUUGUUUAUGAGUGAUUUAACUUUUUAUUGUUUGACUUUCUUGAGUGAUAUAUGUUAUUAUGUUUCUUGCUUAAGUGUGUUUGAUGAUUGUGUUUCCUUUUGUCAAUAUACAUCAUGAGAACUUAUACGAACCCCGUCAAGAACUAACGCGACCCUAAUCAAUUUAGUCCCCAAGAUUAAAUCUAAACCAACAAUUGAUUGGAACCUUGACCCAAUGCUUAUUGAAAGCACGAACCUUGGUAUGUGAAGACGCCACAAUCAGCUACAAAUGGUCUGAUUGAUAAGUCAAGAGUUUUAACGCCACGGAAAUCCGAUAAGUUCAAAGAGUUCGUAAAGAACCAAAGAGAAUUAACUCUCUCACCAAUUGCAUCAAAAAAACUUCUUUUAUAUUUAUUGGAUAUGACCCUCUAGUUUUUGUGGAUGUUUUGACUUCUCGUCGACAAAUAAUACUAAUCUUGUCUAGUACCGCCUUGGUUACACCGGCUCUCUAGUAUAAGGUUAUUAUUAUUUGGCACGAUAAGCCCUUAGCACCAUAUUGAUUAGAGCGUGGUUCAUGCGGUGUGGAUUCCCCCCUCAUGAUUUAAUUGGUAUUAAUAAGGAAUAUUUAGCCCAUGAUGCAUGUUGAUACGGAUCCAGAUACCCAAGUACGUCAUUUCAAUAGAAUCCUCUUCAAUUCAUUCUCGCCAUUUUAAUUCCAGUUUUAGAAUUUAUUCUCGCCAUUUUAAUUUAAGUUUUAGCAUAUUCCAAAUAAUUUCCACCAUAAUUCCAACCACCCAUUUACAAAAUUAAUUCUAUAUAUAAUUAAAAUCCACCUCCUCGUGGGAUCGACACUUGUCACCAUUGAUCUACACUACAAUAGAUUCGUGCGCUUGCGAGUACAUUAAAAUUUGCACAACACCACCAAAUCUUGAUUAAUUUUUUUUUUGUUUAUGAGUGAUUUAACUUUUUAUUGUUUGACUUUCUUGAGUGAUAUAUGUUAUUAUGUUUCUUGCUUAAGUGUGUUUGAUGAUUGUGUUUCCUUUUGUCAAUAUACAUCAUGAGAACUUAUACGAACCCCGUCAAGAACUAACGCGACCCUAAUCAAUUUAGUCCCCAAGAUUAAAUCUAAACCAACAAUUGAUUGGAACCUUGACCCAAUGCUUAUUGAAAGCACGAACCUUGGUAUGUGAAGACGCCACAAUCAGCUACAAAUGGUCUGAUUGAUAAGUCAAGAGUUUUAACGCCACGGAAAUCCGAUAAGUUCAAAGAGUUCGUAAAGAACCAAAGAGAAUUAACUCUCUCACCAAUUGCAUCAAAAAAACUUCUUUUAUAUUUAUUGGAUAUGAGUACUUUAUAAAGGGUUGGUUACAAGAAUUUUUGGAAAUAAAUCCUAAUCCAAAAAUCAAAUCUGAAUCUGAAUCUUCCCUAAUAGGAAAGAAUCUAAAUCAAAUCUGAAUCCUAAUCUAAGUAAUUAGGAAAGAAUUUAAACCAAAUCACAAUCCUAAUCUAAGUAAAUAGGAAAGAAUCUAAAUCAAAUCAGGAUCCUAAUUGGCUUAAACGUCUUACAUCAAUUAAAUGGAAACUAGGCAAUUAAAAUAGAAAUAACUGAUUUGUUUCCCUAAUAGCCUCCUCAAGAAACGGGAAAGUAUCUGAAAAAGGAAAAUAAUAUAUUUUUCCUGCCAUAAUGUGCAAACCAACUCCCUAUUUCAUGGAAGUGAUUAUUUGGAAACUUCAAGAGCUUGAAUCAUGCAUUUAUCAUGUGCGAUUCAUUCAACGGGCCUCCACGAAUUUUAUUGAGGCCAAGUUGCUUGAAUCAAUCCAUUAAGCGCUUCUUUGAAUUUCUUUGCUCGAGCUCUUGUAACGAGUCCGACGGGAACUUGAAUAGGAUCUGAAUAUGCCUCAUCCCAUGUGCUUGUGAUAGUUUUAUCCUUAAUCUCAUCAUUCCCCUCCUCUUGAAGAGGAUUUGUCCUCAAAUCAUCACCUACAUCAAAAGGGCUCAAAUCAGAAACAUUAAAAGUAGCACUUACAUUGUACUCACCAGGCAAAUCCAGUUUGUAUGCAUUGUCAUUGAUCCAUUCCAAAACUUGGAAUGGGCCAUCCCCUGCAUCCAGAAACAAGAGACUUUUGGACACAAGAUAUGGCCUAUGAAUAGAAAACUUAUCCCCAUCCUUAUACCCUCAUCCAUGAUACAUCUGUUACCGUUGUUCUCAAGUCAUACCUAAUGGAACUCAACAAUGUUCAGCCACCUGCCACAAACAUCCACCACACCUCUGUUGGACCAUCACACACCUUAGAAAUUAUCCCAAAGACACAACUUGUACUCCAGGUUCCAGUUCAAGUCCCCAAGGAAUCCUUGUCAUGGAACAACAUGCAUGGGAAUCUUUAGCUUUUGCUUUUUUAAAGUUUGCUUUAAUAAUUAGACAAGGGUCCCAUCUUGUCUAAAGUGUGUCUUAUGCUUUUUCUUUUUCUAGUUUGGCGUGGCGUGCUUUAAUAAUUAUGCUUUUGUAAAAGAUAAGGGUCUCACCUUAUCUCUCCUUCCUCGAGAUCUCUAUAUAAGGAUCUCUCUAUCCCCUUGUCAGGCAGGAGCUAAUCAAAUAAAAUUUAAGUUUUCUUUACAUCAUAUUUCCCUAAAACCUUUUCUCUCUUCUAGGAAUCAAAGAAGUUAUUUGGGUUAAUAAUGAUACGCUCACCUCUAAUUUUCUAAACUGAGUAUGCUCUGCACUUGCCUUAAGCCUAAGGAUCCUGUGCAAUAGAAAUGUCCUGUUUUAUUCUCCAAAACCGAUUUUUAUAAAAUGAAAUUGUUUUCUCACAACGCUCACCCUCUUUGAAGGCCAAGAGUGCCGUGUUUUUGGGUGGUAUCGUGAAAAACUAUUUUCAGAUAUGAUUUUCGGAUUUGGUAUUUGACGGAUAAGUAUAUAUCGGCUAAAAACCAGAACUUGCGGGCUAUUAGCCCUAAGGACAGACUUUGUUUUGUUAUAGAUCUGGUGUAACAACGCCACGUACAACUACCCUAUGGUAUCAGAGCAAUAUAAAGCAACAUUUAUUAUUUCUAACCAUUUGAUAUUUGUCCCUCUAAUUCAACCAUUACUCCACUACAGAACAACACCUUGGGUACCGAACCCCCAAGAUAACUUACUUCUAGCCUUUUUUUUUUCUUUUCACAAGUUUUUUUUUUAAUAAGAAAGUAUGCCUUUCACUAGUAGUAAAUACAUAAUAUCUAUCGGAAAUUCACUCAACCAUAUGACAGCUUUAGUUUUUUGCAAUGCUAACUUAUCUAAUGAUUGGGAAAUUCCAUUACAUAACCUAGGAGUAUGCUUAGCUUUAAAAUUCUAAUUAUUCUUUUUGUUUUCUAGAAUUUUAGAGAUGCAACUUUUCCUUUUUUUUAACUAAGUCUACCAUCUAUUGGGAAUCAAAUUCUAUAAUCACAAAGGUUCCACCAGCUUUUAACAAUAGCAACCAAGCAAUCUCUAUCAAAACUUCUAACCACAACCCCCAAGCCUACCACUUUCUUUCCAGCAUCCACAACAUCAUCCACAUUAACUUUCAUCCGGCCAUUUGGAGAGGGGCACCACUGUUUUUGCUUCUUAACUUCUUUGCUUUCAGGAUAAAUCGUCCAAGGUUGGCUAAUUUUUUAAAAGCCUCCACAACUAACUCUAUACUUGCUACUAACCUGGUUGGGUUUCCUUUUUUUCCUCUCGAACAAUUAUUUGUUUCUUGCAUUCCAAAUUACCUAUAAUAAAGCUGCUACUAACUCCCCAUCACUUUAGUUUGCUGUUGAGGUAAGAUUUAAUGCAAUUGAGCUAUGUCAUGAAAGUGCUCCUCUUGAAAUUCAACUGUCAAUUGAAAAUUUUUCUGAACUUUCCUUGCCAUUUUGCACUCUAACAAAGUAUGAGCUAUGUACUCCACAUUAUAGCAGCAGAUUUAGCAUAUAGGCUCUUUGAAAACUCUUUUCUUCUAUAAGUUUUUAACAGUGAGAAGUAAGUCUUGUACAGCUCUCCAUAAAAAUAUUUUCACCUUCUUUGGUAAGGCAAGCUUCCAACAAUACUCCAUUGGUUUUGUUUAUAAGCAGAACAACUUGGAUAAUCUAGGAACUUUAUCUUCAUAGCCACUUGGUAUCCACUUUUAACUGAGUAUUGCCCUCUUUUAUCAUAGUGCCACAUCAAUUGAUCCUCAUUUGUUGUUAAAGAGGUAAUUUUGAGAAUCAAAUUAGUGAUCGUUUCCAAGAAAUCCAAGAGAAGAUAUAUGUGCAAUUUUGUAAAACAAAUCAUAAACACGAGUGAUGAAUCCAAUUCAAAGAUUUUGUCGUAAGUUUUGGGGAUAUAAUAAUCACUUUUAAGAUAAAUGUAUUGGUAAUAAUACUAUAAUAGAAGAUUCUACAUGAUCAACGCUGUCAAAAUUGUUUUUAUAAAUGCACAUAUUUGUAACGUUAAUGUGUCCAUUCAGUGUCUCUAUGGAUCAUCUCUAAGCAUGGCUUGCCGUUCUGAUCUGGACCAAUCCCGUUAUUUUUAAUUAUUAAAUUUUUAGUGGCAUUAACUUUAUUAUAAAAAUCAUUGAUUAAAAUAAUGCAAUGCCAACCCAAUUACUUGGUUAAACACUUAACCUAGGUUAACCUAAUCCUUAAUCCUUAUCACCUAUUUUAAAACAUAUUUUAUCUGUAGCAUUGGAAUGCAUAAUUUACUUGUGAUUAAUAUUAUUCUGGUAUCAUAGAAAAUAACUCAGAAAUUUAGGGUCUUUGAAAAUUGUUUUUAAGAGACUCAAAAGUGAUUUUAAAAGUUAAAAGUCAAUUUUAAUAUUUAUAAAUUUCUUUUAAAAUUAUUUUUGGCAAAAUCAUCUCAUCUAUAACAAAUUUUGAAAAGUAAGGAAGGGGUUGAAAAUCAAUUUUAUAUUUAAUACAAUUCCAUGUAUAUUCUCAUAUAGGGUAAAAGUUCGUUUAGUCCUUAUAUUUUGAGGUUAGUGUUCAUUUAGUCCCUGUAUUUUUUAAAAUAUCUCAAAGCAUCCUUAUGAUUAAAUUAUUGACACUCUAGUCAUUACCUUUUGUUCCUUUUGACUUAUUUUUACAAUAUUACCCUAUUACAAAUUUAAUACCAAAACAUAAAAUAAAAACAAAAUAUAUAUAUUAAUUUUUGUGGAAUACUCUCUUCAGGAAUUAAAAUAUUAAUUUUUCUAACAAAAUUGAUAAUCUAAUUUUUUACAAUAUUAAUUGUUUUGGACAUACAUAAGCUUCCACAAAAAUUAAUAUAUAACUUUUUUGUUUUUAUUUUAUUUUUGGGUUUAAUUUGAUAAUUGAAUUUUUUAUUUUAUUUUAUUUCUAUAAAGUCAUUAAAUUUAAAAGAAUUAUUAUUAUUGCCAAUUAUAUUAAAACUAUAAAAUAAAAACACACAACACUUUUUUAAAAUAAAUUUCACCAAAUGUUUAAUUGAUUUGAUUCACAACUGAUUAUUUUUAUAGUACAAUUAAAAGUAAUUAUUUUAAAAGCUGUGACAUUUCCAAAUUGAAUUAUAUGCCAAACUCGAAUCCUUGGGAGAUGGAGGGGCAAAAAUUUAAAUUAGACUAAAAAAAUAAAAAUUAUUGCAGAGAAUAAUUCAUACAUCCUUGGACAGUCAACCAUAAAAAUGCGUUUGGCUAUUACAGGAACAUGCUAUUUUUUUAACAUAAUAUAUUUAGAUGGUAUGAGAAUGCUCGUACACACAAAUUACAAAAUAGAGAUACAAAAUUUACAUCUCAAAAAGAAAUAGAACUAAUCAAUCACUAUCAUGGAUUUAGUAAUAGUUGAUUGUUAAUAAUAUUAUAAAUGAGAUAAUUUUACAAUAUUAAUAAGUGAUAAAUCAAUGACAUAAUUAUCGUUUAUACAAAUUUUAAUUUUCAACUUUAUAACACAACUUUGACAUAAUAUUAUAUUGUCAGUAUAUAUUUAGUAGCUGUUUUUUUUUUGACUUAUUAAUGACUCAAUUGACUUAAUUUUAAUCAGUUAAAUCACUAAGUCGGUUACUUUUUCAAAUUCAUGAAAAAUUUCAAUAAUUAAGUCAUUAAAUUAUUAAGCUAAUUAUUUUAGCUUUUUACUUAAUCCAAAAUAUCCCUAUCUAAUUAAUUAAUUUUUAUCCUUACCUAUAUAAAAAUAAUUAAAGCAUGAAGCCUAGUUGGUCAAUAAAAGUUAUUAGACAAAAAAAAAUCUAAAUAAAUAAUUGUAAUAAUAAUAAAAAAAUUAAACCAUGGACAAGGACAAUGAUUUGGAGCACAAACUUUCAACAUUUGUAAAUUAUAUAAAACAACAUUAAAAUAAAUUCAUAGACUUUAAAAAUAAAUAACAUAUAACAUAAAAUACAUUCAGUAUAUAUAUAUAUAUAUGUGUGUGUGUGUGUGUGUGUGUAUUAAAUUACCCUAUUACAAAUUUAAUACCAAAACAUAAAAUAAAAACAAAAUAUAUAUAUUAAUUUUUGUGGAAUACUCUCUUCAGGAAUUAAAAUAUUAAUUUUUCUAACAAAAUUGAUAAUCUAAUUUUUUACAAUAUUAAUUGUUUUGGACAUACAUAAGCUUCCACAAAAAUUAAUAUAUAACUUUUUUGUUUUUAUUUUAUUUUUGGGUUUAAUUUGAUAAUUGAAUUUUUUAUUUUAUUUUAUUUCUAUAAAGUCAUUAAAUUUAAAAGAAUUAUUAUUAUUGCCAAUUAUAUUAAAACUAUAAAAUAAAAACACACAACACUUUUUUAAAAUAAAUUUCACCAAAUGUUUAAUUGAUUUGAUUCACAACUGAUUAUUUUUAUAGUACAAUUAAAAGUAAUUAUUUUAAAAGCUGUGACAUUUCCAAAUUGAAUUAUAUGCCAAACUCGAAUCCUUGGGAGAUGGAGGGGCAAAAAUUUAAAUUAGACUAAAAAAAUAAAAAUUAUUGCAGAGAAUAAUUCAUACAUCCUUGGACAGUCAACCAUAAAAAUGCGUUUGGCUAUUACAGGAACAUGCUAUUUUUUUAACAUAAUAUAUUUAGAUGGUAUGAGAAUGCUCGUACACACAAAUUACAAAAUAGAGAUACAAAAUUUACAUCUCAAAAAGAAAUAGAACUAAUCAAUCACUAUCAUGGAUUUAGUAAUAGUUGAUUGUUAAUAAUAUUAUAAAUGAGAUAAUUUUACAAUAUUAAUAAGUGAUAAAUCAAUGACAUAAUUAUCGUUUAUACAAAUUUUAAUUUUCAACUUUAUAACACAACUUUGACAUAAUAUUAUAUUGUCAGUAUAUAUUUAGUAGCUGUUUUUUUUUUGACUUAUUAAUGACUCAAUUGACUUAAUUUUAAUCAGUUAAAUCACUAAGUCGGUUACUUUUUCAAAUUCAUGAAAAAUUUCAAUAAUUAAGUCAUUAAAUUAUUAAGCUAAUUAUUUUAGCUUUUUACUUAAUCCAAAAUAUCCCUAUCUAAUUAAUUAAUUUUUAUCCUUACCUAUAUAAAAAUAAUUAAAGCAUGAAGCCUAGUUGGUCAAUAAAAGUUAUUAGACAAAAAAAAAUCUAAAUAAAUAAUUGUAAUAAUAAUAAAAAAAUUAAACCAUGGACAAGGACAAUGAUUUGGAGCACAAACUUUCAACAUUUGUAAAUUAUAUAAAACAACAUUAAAAUAAAAAUAAAAAUAAAAUUGAUUAAUAGAAUUAAAAUGAAUAUAUAUAUAUAUAUAUAUAUGUGUGUGUGUGUGUGUGUGUGUAUUAAAAUGAUGUAUAAAACUUAAGCUUUUUUAUUUCAGAUUGGCUCCCCUACAACUGAGACCAAAGGUGCCUUUUAUAGAGGAUCAUUGAGAACAGAACCUCUCGAAUGAUCAUAUCACAUGGCACAGUCUAAUAAUAUGAAAAUUAAGAAUGAGUUAAAAAUAAAAAAAUAUAAAUUUUAAUACAAUGCAUUUUAUUUUAUGAUAUAAUAAAUUUAUACUUAUUAUUAUUUAACUUGUGUAUAAAUUCUUAAUUAUAAGUUCAUAUAUAUAUAUAAUAAGACCAAAAAAGAGGCAAUAGCAGUCAAAAUGAAAGGAAAAUAAAAGGAAAGAAGAAGGCGGGUUCCUUGCGGCCAACGCACUUAGGUUUGGCAUUAGGUUCGGAGUGUAGACUUCGCGUGUGAAGAUAAGAACGGCCCUCCUCCUCUCUCUUACGAACAUUUUUCUUUCAUCGUCUCAGAGUCUCAGCCGCCUCUGCUUUUGUCUACUAAUAAUAUCAAGCACUCUCUCUUUAAACCCUUUUUCUCUAACUGAACGAGAUAUUCAGUCUGUGAGUUGUUCAAGCUGGCGAUCGAAAAUCAAGAAUCCACUGUCCGUGAAAUCAAGCCCAAGAAUCGCAGAAUAAUGGUAUUACAAUUGCAAACAACUUUUUCACAUUCUUCCUUUUCUUUAUCCCCCUUUGGGCAUUUUUCUUUAUUUGUUUACAACAAUGGCCUAAUGUAUAUGUGUUUGAUUAUUUGUCAUAGGGCCCCGAUGAAGAGGACAACAGGUGGCCUCCAUGGCUGAAGCCAUUGCUAAGGGAGAGCUUCUUCGUUCAAUGCAAGUUACAUCCUGAUUCUCAUAAGAGUGAAUGCAAUAUGUAUUGUUUGGAUUGUAUGAAUGGCGCUUUCUGCUCUCUCUGCUUGGACUACCAUAAGGACCAUCGUGCUAUUCAGGUUCAAAAAUCAAAAUCCCAAAAUCCCCUGUUUCUUUGAAAUUGACCAAUCAAGCUAAUUAUAAACUACUGGGCAUCCUUGAUUUUAUUGAUUUGAUUAUAUGGAACAGAUAAGAAGGUCCUCAUACCAUGAUGUGAUAAGGGUAUCUGAAAUUCAGAAGGUGCUUGACAUAUCUGGAGUCCAAACUUAUGUUAUAAACAGUGCCAGAGUUGUGUUCUUGAAUGAGAGGCCUCAGCCUAGGCCUGGCAAGGGUGUCACAAACACCUGCGAGGUUUGCGACCGCAGUCUCCUUGAUUCCUUCCGCUUCUGCUCUCUUGGCUGCAAGGUAACCUUAAUCACAACUAAUUUCAAUGUUGUCCCAUUUUUCUUGUUUGGUUGAUGAGCAAGUGUGGGAAAAGAAAACAAUAAUGUUCAGUUAACACAUUGUUUGUUUGGUUGGAAUGGAGUUGACUUCUCAUAAUGAAUUAAUUACCCCCUCUAAUUUUUUUAUUCCUUAAUGACUAAGUAGCUUACAGAAGGUGGAGUACUUGAGAAUUCGAUUUCAAAUUUCAAUUACCCCUUUGAUUAUUGAUUGAUUAAUUAAUUUGAUUGCUUUAAUUUUUUUUAUUCCUUGACGACUGUUCAUCUGGUCCUGGAUGCUGGAUUUUCUUUAAGUCCGAGAAAGUUGUUACACCAAUAAUUAGAUUGAUUAUGAAGUGUGAAACAUGAACACCCCUUUCAAAUUUCAAUUACCUAUUUUUUUGUGAAUUUGCACAUUUUUAUAAAAUUUCUAUUUUCAAAAUAUUGAUGUUAUUAUAGAUUGUUGGAACAUCAAAGAAUUUUCAAAAGAGGAAGAACCGGCUAGCAAUGGGAUCAGACUCUGAGGAUUCAUACAGCAGCGGCAUCCACGGCAAGCUGAAGAAUAGGGACUUCAGCAGCAACAACAACAACAAAAUGCAAAGCUUCUCCCCCUCAACACCCCCUCCAACUGCUGUUAGUCACCGAAUCAGC